Molecule: ribosomal RNA, 492 nt
Filed under: uncultured bacterium
Lineage: Bacteria
Description: partial 16S ribosomal RNA
Rfam family: Bacterial small subunit ribosomal RNA
Source: RNAcentral
AGUGAACGCUGGCGGUAGGCCUAACACAUGCAAGUCGAACGGCAGCACAGUAAGAGCUUGCUCUUACGGGUGGCGAGUGGCGGACGGGUGAGGAAUACAUCGGAAUCUACUUUUUCGUGGGGGAUAACGUAGGGAAACUUACGCUAAUACCGCAUACGACCUACGGGUGAAAGCAGGGGAUCUUCGGACCUUGCGCGAUUGAAUGAGCCGAUGUCGGAUUAGCUAGUUGGCGGGGUAAAGGCCCACCAAGGCGACGAACCGUAGCUGGUCUGAGAGGAUGAUCAGCCACACUGGAACUGAGACACGGUCCAGACUCCUACGGGAGGCAGCAGUGGGGAAUAUUGGACAAUGGGCGCAAGCCUGAUCCAGCCAUACUGCGUGGGUGAAGAAGGCCUUCGGGUUGUAAAGCCCUUUUGUUGGGAAAGAAAAGCAGCAGGUUAAUACCCCGCUGUUCUGACGGUACCCAAAGAAUAAGCACCGGCUAACUUCGUG